GAUGAACGCUAGCGGGAGGCUUAACACAUGCAAGUCGAGGGGCAUCACGAGGUAGCAAUACUUUGGUGGCGACCGGCGCACGGGUGAGUAACACGUAUGCAACCUACCCUGUACAGGGGGAUAACCCGGAGAAAUUCGGACUAAUAUCCCAUGAUUAUAUUGAGGGGCAUCCUUUAAUAUUUAAAGCUCAGGCGGUACGGGAUGGGCAUGCGGAACAUUUAGCUAGUUGGUAGGGUAACGGCCUACCAAGGCUACGAUGUUUAGGGGACCUGAGAGGGUUAUCCCCCACACUGGUACUGAGACACGGACCAGACUCCUACGGGUGGCAG
Molecule: ribosomal RNA, 329 nt
Filed under: uncultured Bacteroidota bacterium
Lineage: Bacteria; Pseudomonadati; Bacteroidota
Description: bacterial SSU rRNA
Rfam family: Bacterial small subunit ribosomal RNA
Source: RNAcentral